This 70-nucleotide transfer RNA is filed under the name Lithobates warszewitschii. RNAcentral's name for it is "tRNA-Val". It matches the Rfam family "tRNA". From Rfam's summary of the family: Transfer RNA (tRNA) molecules are approximately 80 nucleotides in length. Their secondary structure includes four short double-helical elements and three loops (D, anti-codon, and T loops). Lineage: Eukaryota; Metazoa; Chordata; Amphibia; Anura; Ranidae. The record is from RNAcentral.
ACAAGAUGUAGCUUAAUAAAAACUCCUCGUUUACACCGAGGAAAUAUCUGUUUAAACCAGAUCAUCUUGA